Molecule: ribosomal RNA, 243 nt
Filed under: uncultured bacterium
Lineage: Bacteria
Description: partial 16S ribosomal RNA
Rfam family: Bacterial small subunit ribosomal RNA
Source: RNAcentral
AGGAUCCGAGCGUUAUCCGGAUUUAUUGGGUUUAAAGGGUGCGUAGGCGGCAUUAUAAGUCAGGGGUGAAAUACGGCAGCUCAACUGUCGCAGUGCCUUUGAUACUGUAGUGCUUGAAUAGGUUCGAAGAAGGCGGAAUGGGACAAGUAGCGGUGAAAUGCAUAGAUAUGUCCCGGAACCCCAAUUGCGAAGGCAGCUUUCUAGGCCCUUAUUGACGCUGAUGCACGAAAGCGUGGGGAUCGA